CCUGGCGGCACUAGCGCGGUGGUCCCACCUGACCCCAUGCCGAACUCAGAAGUGAAACGCCGUAGCGCCGAUGGUAGUGUGGGGUCU
This 87-nucleotide ribosomal RNA is filed under the name Klebsiella pneumoniae. Lineage: Bacteria; Pseudomonadati; Pseudomonadota; Gammaproteobacteria; Enterobacterales; Enterobacteriaceae. The record is from RNAcentral. RNAcentral also lists the same sequence under 25 other names.